CUGGAAAUGAACCUACUGUUUUGUUUUGUUUUUUUUUAAGUUCAUACCUCCUCUGAACUAGAUAGGCAUUUAAGUGAUAAAGCAGAGGAAGCAAGAAGGAGAUAUCAAUGAGAAAUGAUUGGUUGGUUGGAUCAUGGCAUGUACCUACCUCACUUCAAAAAGUGAUUUAGGAUAUGUUAUUUUAAAAAUACGUGUUCUAUAUUGUGGUAGGCCGAGUGGUAGUCCUCCAAAGAGGUCCAUGUCUUAAUCCUCAGAACAUGUGAAUAUGUCACCUUGCAUGGUAAAAGGAACUUUGCAGAUGUGACUAAGUUAAGGAUCUUGAGAUGAGAGAUUAGCCUGUAUUAUGCAGGUGGGCCUGAUGUAAUUGUAAGGUUCCUUACAAAAAGGAGGGAGGAGUUCAGAGAGAGGAGAAGAGAAUUUGUUAAGGAAAGCAGAUAUUGGAAUGAUAUGGCCAUAGCCAAGGAAACUGGCAGCCACUGGAAGCUGGGUGAGGCAAGGAAUAUUCCCUCUGAAGCCAUCAGAAGGAAUCAGCCCUGCUGACACCUUGAUUUUAGCCCUAUAAGAUUCAUUUCUGAUUUCUGACUUCCAAAGUUUAAGAGAAGAAUAAAUAUGUGUUGUCUUAAAUCACUGCAUUUGUGGUAAUUUGUUACAAUAGCAACAAGAAAUUAAUUGAAGGAGAAGAAAAUAAAGAGGGGAAAAUAUGAUGAAGCAAUAGCUUACUCUUUCUUGUGUCUAAUUUUAUUGAAAUACUAAUUUGAAAGCAAGAUUUACUUCUUAUAAACUCUAUGUAGACUGUGCACUUGAAAGCUUACCAAACAAAA
Molecule: long non-coding RNA, 821 nt
Filed under: Homo sapiens (human)
Lineage: Eukaryota; Metazoa; Chordata; Mammalia; Primates; Hominidae
Description: HSALNT0211771
Source: RNAcentral